ACACCUCUGUGCACUUUGGGGGGACUCGAGACAGUGUCCUCCCGUUAACGAACGCCCUUGUCUCUAGUGUGUAUUUUGAGAACCCCCUUCUGAAGGGGGGAAAGUCUUUGAAACACAACUUUCAACAACGGAUCUCUUGGCUUUCGCAUCGAUGAAGAACGCCGCGAACGCGCGAAACGUAAUGUGAAUUGCAGAAUUCAGUGAAUCAUCGAAUCUUUGAACGCACCUUGCGCUCCUCGGCAUUCCGAGGAGCAUGCCUGUUUGAGUGUCGUGAAGUCUCAUCGGAUAAGGGGGUCCCUUGCGAAGGGGGCCUCUUUUCGGUCUUGGACGGUCUUGCCUUCACUUUGUCUGUGAAGGCUCGUCUUCAAAUUCAUCGGCGAGGGUUUCCAAGUCCCCCCCACGGAGACGCGUGAUAAGUCUUGCGUCGUCUGGGGGUAAGGAGCCCGGCCCCCAUCACUCUUUUUUAACGCCCUGACCUCAAAUCAGGCAGGACUACCCGCUGAACUUAAGCAUAUCAAUAAGCGGAGGAAAAGAAACUAACAAGGAUUCCCCUAGUAACGGCGAGUGAAGCGGGAACAGCUCAAAUUUGUAAUCUGACGGCCUCUGGUCGUCCGAGUUGUAAUCUGGAGAAG
This 632-nucleotide ribosomal RNA is filed under the name uncultured fungus. RNAcentral's name for it is "eukaryotic LSU rRNA". The stretch from base 117 to 271 matches the Rfam family "5.8S ribosomal RNA". Lineage: Eukaryota; Fungi. The record is from RNAcentral.